Long non-coding RNA from Corapipo altera (White-ruffed manakin), 373 nucleotides. RefSeq lists it as uncharacterized. NCBI's taxonomy places the organism in Eukaryota, Metazoa, Chordata, Aves, Passeriformes, Pipridae. The record is from RefSeq and is a predicted model, not a curated record. The transcript has 3 exons.
ACACAGUGUACCCUAGACCGAGAUCAGUUGAAGCAGCCUGGUAAGAAGGUUGUAUUAGGUGUUGGAUGCAGGAUGUCAGUUUUAGCCACAGGAGUCCUUUAUCUUGUGCCUUUUUGUUCUUUAUUUUCCAGAUGGGGCCCACUCGGUCUCGAGGGGUAGCGGCUGAGCAGGGAGACGAGCGAGGCGAUACACAACCCUUUGCCCAUGUGCUGAAGGUGCCGAAGGUCCAUCCUAUAAGAGGUCAAGCUGAAGAAGCCCGAGAUAGCCAGGAUGAGGCAGUACGUCAGCACAAACCUCCACGUCCGUGUUGUCUCACAGCGGCCGUCUGUCCACUUCAGGGGGAGACCUUGGGAGCAGCUGAAGAGAGAGGAGC